UUUCCGUGGACUGCCUAUGAGAGGAGCACGGUAACCUAAUUAUAUAUUUACCUCCGGAGGGAGACGUUGGAUGAAGUAUCUCCUGAGGUAAGAUUUGAAUGCACCUCACGGUCACUGUAGUGGUGGGGGUUUUCCUGGACUGCCUAUAAGAGGGGCACGGUAACUCAAUUAUAUACUUACCUCCGAGGGGAGAUGUUGGGUGAAGUAUCUCCUGAGGUAUGAUUUGAGUGCACCUCACGUUCGGGCCACCACGUGAGAGUGAGACUCAGCCAACGCCAAGGAACGGUUGUGUGUCAGAUGUGAAAACAUGUUUAUGGGUAUGGGUCAUUGAACAGCCUUGGCGGUCUCAGUGGGAUACCUAGACGAAGGUACUCGCGAGAAUGAUUCUGGCAGGGGCCAAGUUUAAAAAAUUCAUAAGCCGAAAAAUUUUGAUGAAAAUAAAUUGUUUGGUAUAGAUUGAAACAAAUUUUGCGUUAUGAACAUUAUUGAGAUAUAAUGUUUUUAU
RNAcentral lists this long non-coding RNA (505 nucleotides) under Theobroma cacao (cacao). RNAcentral describes it as "long non-coding RNA (TCAC_LNC000802)". Lineage: Eukaryota; Viridiplantae; Streptophyta; Magnoliopsida; Malvales; Malvaceae. The record is from RNAcentral.